UUUGUGAGCCAUAGAUAUACAGCAAAGACCUCCAGCCCUCUUCCUAACAUGUGCCCCUGUGAUAGUUAAUUUACUUAUUAACCAGACAUCAACUGAGCACCUACUACCUGCAGGUCCCUGAGCCAAUGGAGAGGAUCCAGCAGUGAGCAGGAUUCUUCAUCCUCUCCCCGUUAUGUGGAGCCCUCCUCUCCAGGGAAGAAUUCUGAAGAGGAGGCCAGAAAUGAAUGGCCUGGUGAGGGGUCUAUCCACAAAGCAACAUAUCCAUGAUGGAGUGCAGAUGGCUGCAUCUUUUGACUUCUCAGACCUCCUUGAAUGAAUGGGCUUCAGAUAACAUUUGACUUCAAACCCACACAUCUGUUUGAUAUUUGGACAUGGCUGGUGAGCCCAGACCAGGCCCCACCCGGCCUGGCCAGAAGAGGCAGCAGGGCACAGCUAUCUUUUGUAACUAUGACCUGAACUACAAAUUGCACAGAGAAGAUGUCCCUUACAGGGUGUAUGAAUAUCAGAGGAUUCCUCCACUUAUCAACCAGGUGCCUGCCAAGAUCCGCAGGACCCAUGUGGGCCUGGGAAUCAAGAGCAGCUGCAACCCACACAAGGCCUCCAGGAAUAGCCAUCUGGCCCCCAGGCAGAUGAAACGUGAGUGA
This 644-nucleotide long non-coding RNA is filed under the name Castor canadensis (American beaver). Its description in RNAcentral is "lncRNA (ENSCCNG00000009055.1)". The record is from RNAcentral. Lineage: Eukaryota; Metazoa; Chordata; Mammalia; Rodentia; Castoridae.